AGUGACAGGGUUGCAUCACUGACUCUGCCCAAUGAGGUAGGUCCACUCAAAUUAUUGGCACAUCAGCCUGCCUGCCAAUCAAACCAGCUAGUUCACUGAAUGCAGGACUUGCAAAGAGCACUGUUUCAAUGCUCUAAGUGCAGAGCAAGUGUGUCUAAUAAUGCACUCAUGCUACACUUUUUGGGGACACCAGGAAACAAAGUUUGGACAGCUGGACAGGACAUGAAAAUCAGGACUGUCCUGCUGAAAUCACGGCUGGGAGGCCUGCUGCUUACUAAGGUGCAAAGCCCAGUCUCUGUUUGCCAUUGUUAGAUAAGCAUACUAAUUAUAUAAUAAGCAUACUAUAUUAUAUAAUAAUGUAGUCUGAAACCCGACUUUAUAGACCUCCUUAGCACUGAACUGGGUCUUUCAAAAUCCCUGAAGCAGCACUAACCGGUAACUCUGAAGUUGAAAAACUAAAACUUCCAUUAUUGUUUGGUAAACAAAAAACCUGUAGACCCAAAAAUAGAAAAAGUGAGCAACUUGCUGGUUAUGACUGCCCUAAAGAAUGGAAUUCCUGUGAUUUUUGAAUCAGUGAUUGUUUUGUGUGAAGUAGUGUUGGAUUAUUUAAAACCUUAAUAUUGACAUGCAUGCUGUUAUUUUCUGGUAACUCUCAUUAGAAGCAAAUACCAGUUAAACAAGGGUAUCACAAUCACUACUUAUGAGAAAGAUAAUUAUAAAGGAAAUGAUACCUUACCCUAAAAGAAAAUGGUGUGACUCCAUACAUGCAGUUAUUUCAGAAGGUAGAUUAUGUUUUGAAAUUCCAGAGUGAGUGACAAAGUUACAUGGAGCACUAAACAUAACUAAUUCCUUGUGUGCAAAGCAGGAACCCGUUGGUGGGUGUUACACUUCUUGAUAACAGUUGUCCAUUGGUCCAUGUCCUUUGUUUGUUCCCUGGAGUCGCGUAAUUAAAUAGGCUUCACCUGUGAAAACUGAAAUCAAAGCAAUCGGCCCAUGAAACAGAGCUAUGUUAAAGGAACACUAUAGCCAAGCCUGUCUAGGUGGAGGAGAGGGGUACAGGCAGCAUUCCCCCAAUGUGUGUGUAGAUUUAUAUACUGGGCCACUACUGUGUAGAAUAAUGAAGAAGGGGCCCAGCAUCCACCUCCAGAAUCCAUCUCUGGCAGUGUCCACUUCCAAGCGCUGGCUAUCUGCUCUUCUGCUAUUUGGUGGAGGUGUAACAUGGCGUCUGGGCUUUCGUCUUCAUUAUAGAAACAAGUAGAAGCCUGCAGUGUGCCACGGACCACCAGGGAAUCUAGUGACCCCCUCCCAGCCAUACGUAAGAAUCAGGGAAGUGGGAAUAAAAAAAAAAAAAAAAAUCUUAUCCUAUCCUACUCUAGAAAUGUAUACACACACUGCAUCCACCACACAAAUACACUGCAUUCCACUUUAGACUAUAGACUCCAUCUACUACACACACAACAAUGAUUAUACACACAUACACACUGCAUUUACUACACAAACACUUUACACACACACACCAUCCAGUAGACACACACAUCACCCUGUACACACACACACUGCACCAACUACAUACACCUUCCAUUUACCUAUUUACAGCACUGAGGCUCCCUCAUCUCUGCUUAUCGCUCCUCCCCUAACAAACAUGGCUACCGCCACGAUGAUUCAUGAUUUGAAUGCGCGUGGGUGGAGUGUGCAUGCAAAACACACACACACUUCAUCUACUACAAGCACACAGCAUCCACUUUACUCACACAAAAUUUAAUUUCAAUGAAGUGGUCUAAAUGCAGUGUCCCUGUCCUCUAAACCCUGUAAUGUGAUAUUUUUGAGAAGCUGCAAUGUUGUACAUUGCAGGGUUAAAUCCACCUCUAGAGUAUCACAGCCAUUAGAGGCUUUUCUGGGGCACUGAUUUAGCGAAGUUUGGUCAUGUGACAUGGAUGUUCCUAUAGGAAAGCAUGGAUUCAAUUAAAGUUUUGCAUGCACACUCCACACACGCGCAUUCAAAUCAUGAAUCAUCGUGGCGGUAGCCAUGUUUGUUAGGGGAGGAGCGAUAAGCAGAGAUGAGGGAGCCUCAGUGCUGUAAAUCAAACAUUAAUUUAUAAAUUUUUAUUGCACCUGAGGUAGGAACUAUAGCGUUUGUAAUACAGAUUUGUAUUCCUAGUGCUAUAGUGUUUCUUUAAGUGAGGUUAGCAGCUAAGAGGUUACAUGACUCCCAAGUGUCCCUCUUUAGAAGGGAAAGUCCCCAUUUAGAGACCAAAGUCCCUCUCUCCCUCUUCUCUAUUCUAAUAUCCCUCUUUUCUAGGAGCUCUGCAUUAUUGGUGUGUCUGAAUUUAUACAACAAACUCCACAGCAAUAAUACUCACAGUACUGUAUCGUUAAACUACAAUAAAUAUGUUUAGAAAUCGGUGUCUGUAAAUACGAGACAUUGUUCUUCUUUUACAUUUGUUACAUAAGUUGUUAUUAGUAAGUCUCUCUUUGUCCAUUUGAAAGUUUGGGAAAUAUGCACUUAUGACUACAAGAAAUAGCUCUGACUGCAAUCAGAAUUUAGAAUUUGCAAUGAAAGGUAUGUUUUUUUUGUUUUUUUAAAUUUGUAUUUAUUUUGUUGGUGCAUUUUUUAUGAUUCUCUGUCAGGCAUAUCAUUUAAACAGCAACCAUGGAGUACCACAUUAUUAUUUUUUUCUUAGAAUAUAUAUGUUGAGUGUUUCGGAUUAUAUAUUCUACAAUUAGUUA
Molecule: long non-coding RNA, 2727 nt
Filed under: Pelobates cultripes (western spadefoot toad)
Lineage: Eukaryota; Metazoa; Chordata; Amphibia; Anura; Pelobatidae
Source: RNAcentral